RNAcentral lists this transfer RNA (21 nucleotides) under Viscum articulatum. RNAcentral's name for it is "partial tRNA-Leu". Lineage: Eukaryota; Viridiplantae; Streptophyta; Magnoliopsida; Santalales; Viscaceae. RNAcentral also lists the same sequence under 3 other names. The record is from RNAcentral.
AAAAUCCGUUGACUUUAUAAU